GACGUAGGGCGCGAGCGUUGUCCGGAUUUAUUGGGCGUAAAGAGCUCGUAGGCGGCUUGUUGCGUCGACUGUGAAAACCUGCGGCUCAACCGUGUGGUCUGCAGUCGAUACGGGCAGGCUGGAGUUCGGUAGGGGAGACUGGAAUUCCUGGUGUAGCGGUGAAAUGCGUAGAUAUCUGGAGGAACACCGGUGGCGAAGGCGGCAUCCUGGACCGACACUGACGCUGAGGAGCGAAAGCCAGGGGAGCAAACGGG
This 254-nucleotide ribosomal RNA is filed under the name uncultured bacterium. RNAcentral's name for it is "partial 16S ribosomal RNA". It matches the Rfam family "Bacterial small subunit ribosomal RNA", at positions 524 to 776 of the family's 1533-position model. The record is from RNAcentral.